RNAcentral lists this long non-coding RNA (5682 nucleotides) under Homo sapiens (human). RNAcentral describes it as "HSALNT0397943". Lineage: Eukaryota; Metazoa; Chordata; Mammalia; Primates; Hominidae. The record is from RNAcentral.
AGGAUAAUUGAGAGUUUAAUGAUAGGACUAUUUACAAAGUUGAGGGCAGCAUUAAGGGAAAUCCUGGAAGCCCAUAACAGUGGGGCUCCAUUGCCACCCCAUCCCUGAGAGUGGAAAUGGAGGAAGUAGUUACUGGAGCCCAGUGAGACCUUUGGUAUAAAACAGAGUUAGGCUGGAAGCAGUGGCUCAUGUCUGUAAUCCCAGCAUUUUGGGAGGCCGAGGCCGGCAUAUCAGUUGAGGUCAGGAGUUCAAGACCAGCCUGGCCAACAUAAUGAAACCCUGUCUCUACUAAAAAUACAAACAUUAGCCCAGCAUGGUGGUGCACGUCUAUAGUCCCAGCUACUUGGGAGGCUGAGGCAGGAGAAUUGCUUGAACCCGAGAGGCAGAGGUUGCAGUGAGCUGAGAUCGCACCACUGCACUCCAGCCUGGGCAACAGAGUGAGACUCUGCCUCAAAAAAAAAAUUAGUAUGUUGAGGCACUUUCAUGUUUAUUGUAGCACUAUUUACUAAAUGUCCCAUCUCUGAACUCUAAGUCCUGCCAUUUUCCUGGUAGGGAGGAACUUCAUGGCCAUGGAUGUGAGCUAUCCAAACACUCAGAAAAAAAGAAUCUUGACUGUCUUCUCUUCUUUGACCUUCUUCACUCUAUUUUCAGCCAACAUUCCCACAGCCCCACCCCCCAAAUCCUUGUCAUCAAUCUGAAAUGUGAAACACAGACAUUUCACUCUCUGACCACAACCACUAAUACCCCAACUCCCCCACUGCUUCAUUGCCAAUGGCAUGAGGGCUAUACUGGCCAACUAGGUCUUUGCUUAAGGUUCCAAAGAGUGCAAACACUAUAGAAGGUCAAGUCUCCCUCCUAUUAAAAGACUUUUUUUUUCUAACAUUUUGAAAUCUUUUGUUACAUGUUUACACGGAAGUAUUUGAAGAAAUACAAGGGAGUACAAGCAGUUUUUCUAAUGUUUCAUAAAGAAAAACAGGUGGGGCCUAGCAGUCCAAAGUGGUGAUUAACAGCAUGAAACUUACAUUCACAGCCAGGCGUGGUAGCUCAUGCCUGUAAUCCCAGCACUUUGGGAGGCCGAAGUGGGCAGAUCACCUGAGGUCAGGAGUUUGAAACCAGCCUGACAAAUAUGGUGAACCCCGUGUCUACUAAAAAUAGAAAAAUGAGCUGUGUCUGGUGGCUAUAAUCCCAGCUACUCGGGAGGCUGAGGCUGGAGAAUCACUUGAACCCAGGAGGCAGAGGUUGCAGUGAGCCAAGAUCGCACCAUUGCACUCGAGCCUGGGCAACAAGAGCAAAAGAGCGAAACUCCAUCUCAAAAAAAAAAAAUUUACCAUCACACAAGACCAUACUAAGACUCUACACUCAUUAGCUGUGAAAUGCAGAAGCAAGUCACUUAUGACCGGCUUUGGGGGAACUUAUCUAACUCAUUUGCAAAAUGGAGAUGAUAAAGCUAACCUCAGUCUUGCAAUCAGGAGUUCAAUUAAGAUUAUGCUCAUAAAAAGCUUCCUGCAGUUCUGGGGGUUUUUUCAAGCAGAUAAAUGGAGCUGGGAUAGGACUGUUUUAAUCCAAACACAGAUGAGCACAGGAAAAUAUCACAUGUUCACGUGUAUGCAACAUGGCCCACAAGUCUGCACACACACACCAGAAUGAACACAUGAAAACAUCCACGUACUGGCCGGGCACGGUGGCUCACACCUGUAAUCCCAGCACUUUGGGAGUCCGAGGCGGGCGGAUCAUGAGGUCAGGAGAUCGAGACCAUCCUGGCUAACAUGGUGAAACCCCAUCUCUACUAAAAAUACAAAAAAUUAGCCGGGCAUGGUGGCAGGCACCUGUAGCCCCAGCCACUCAGCAGGCUGAGGCAGAUGAAUGGUGUAAACCUGGGAGGCAGAGGUUCCAGCCGAGACCAUGCCACUGCCCCCCAGCGUGGGGACAGAGCAAGACUCUGUCUCAAAAAAAAAAACAAAGAAAAAAACAUCCACAUACUUAUAUGUAGUCACCCAAUUGUGAAUGUAUACACACAAAUAUGAAUAUGCAGCAUUCAUCUUGUUCUACACAGAAAUACACAUCGUAGACACCCCUAAAUCAUGUGUGCACACAUGCUGUAUGCAGAGACAGACACAAAGAUUGGCAAGCAUUGAGAAACAGUGCCACACCCUGUCAGGCACACACACACAUGUGCAUGUGCAGACAUAAGUUGGAAUGGAUACCCAUUAUCAAGCACAAACAUACACACCACAAAGCCUGGUGCACACAUAAAUUCAUGUAUCAACAUGAACAUGCUGAAACAUACAUACACGUAGACACUAAAAGCAUGCACCCAGAAUGACACACACACAGUUGUAUAAAUGAGGAUAAACAUGGCAGAGGCAUCCAGGAGAACCCACUGGACAAAAUGGCACAAAACACAAAGAUGCAUGAGCACACAGGGUGAUUGAGGGGAACACUGACUUGCAGGGAAGGAGAAAGAGAAAGAUAGAAAGAUGGGAUCCAAGACAAGCAUAGACAGACAGGUGGGCAAAGUCCUGUGCAGGGCUCCAGGGCCAACCAGAAUAACCUGAGAGUCUAAUGCUGGCCUGUCCUUCCGCAGAUACUGCCUAACUCAGCACCACACUCCAGGAGGCCAUGAAGGAUUAAUUUCCUAUUCACAGCUCCAUGGGGUAAAGCUUGGCUGUGCUGAGGAAGGGAUGGCGAAGGAGGUUCCCAAAGACUCUGUCCCUUUCCUCCUUCCCAAAGGAAAAGAUUUGUGAGCUUUAGACUAGAGAAUGUAAAAGCAAGGAAUGUGCUUAGGGAACAUCUCAUCCAUCCGCUUCAUCCUACAGAUUAAAGAGAACAACUACCAUUCAUUGAGCACUUACUGCCAUGUACCUCAUCUGCAUUAACACUUAUACUUCUCCCCUAAAUAGCCAAAGAGGUAGGAGCUGUUCUUGGCUCCAUAAGACUCAGAGAGAUGAAGUCAGCUGUUCAAAGCCACACAACAAAGAAAGGAUAAGGUUAGGAUUCCAAUCCAGGCCUUAAUCAUUGCACCAUCCAUUCAGAAAGGGAAACUGAGGCCCAGCAAAGGAAAGGGAUCUUCCUGGGCUCGCCACUAACUCACUCUGAAAGCCUGUUCCCAAGACACUGCCCACUGGGACAAGUCCCUCCCACAUGAUUUCAGACACCAUUCUCUCACUCCAUGCUCUAGGGUAAUCAACAAGUCCAAAAUUCAUUGACCUCUAUGUCCACAAAUACUAGAGUUCUCCCAACCUGUCUCUCCCCAUCCCCUCCCUGGCCAGGUCAUGGCAACCUGCUGAUCACUCAGUGCACUUCCUAGUGCCAACCCCAGUGAGAAACAAACUCCCCAGAUUUCUGUCUCCCACCUUUUUAAGAAACACGAAGGAAAAGGAGGAGCCAGGCCCAGGUGCAGACUGGUGAACAGGAUUAGAGCGAUUGAUAUCUGCCAAGCUGGUGCUAAUCUUCCUUCCCACCUCUUCCCCUCCAAAAUCAACAAACAACUUUCCUCUCUCUGCCUUGUUCUCUGACCUUUGUUCCCUCCACACAGGUCUCAGAGCUCAGCAUCCUAGAACAGUUUGAGCAAGAUGUCAGUCCUGGGGGUGCCAACCUCACCCACCUCCACUUGUCCAAAGUUGGUGACCCAGAGGACAGGUGCAACCCUAAAUGGUCCAACCACCACAGCCUGUCCUGUGGCCAUCUGGGGCCCCUCUCAGGGUCUGGCUGAGGCUCAUCUCAGACCCACAUAGGACCAAUAUCAGCACCUGCCUCAUGCUCAUGUCACAGCCCACUGGGACCAACCUCAGACCCUAUAUGGUGCCACCCUUACGCCCUCCUGAAGCAGGACACUCUUAUGCCCUCAAUGACACCUGAGACAACACACAGAGCCCUCUUGGCACCAAACAUGACUUCAAUAUUCUCCUGGUGUCAAGUUCAGUGCCAACUUGUUUCCCAUCCUCGCAUACACCUGGGGGCAGUCCCAAAGCCAACACGAUGCCUUUCCCUCCCUGGCCAUACCUGAUGCUGAUAUCAGAACCCACCAAUGUCAUCAGUGUGUCCACUGCUGAUGCCAGUCCCAGCACUCACCUCCUGCUAAGGCUGGCCUGCACUUGACUCCCAGGGUGAUCUAGGCCAGUCAAUGAAGGGGGGUGAGGAGAAAGUUCACAUCCCAGCUCCCUCACUUACUCCCUGUGUGACCUCACUCAAGAGGAUUUAUGGAGUCUAGAUCUGCUCAUCUUCAAAAUGAGGAUGAUCAUGAUGAACCAACCUCAUUGUUACAAAGAUUCAACCAGAUCAUACACACCUAGACUUAAUCUUCCCGUAUACGACCAUGCUCACCAAAGGGUAACUGUCCUGUUUACUAAGGAAGAAUUUCCCUGAGGGAAGGACAGGAGGGCUACUCAUCCCUUCUCCACUCACACCCACCCCAGGAUCUGCCUCUGUGCCUAAUACUGGAGUUUACCCCAAUCUCUUCUGCCACUGUUCCCUCUGCCUGCUAAUAGUAGUAGCCCCUGACAAAGCAGGAAUCAUUCUUAAAGGAGACUUAACUCACCCUCGAAUGUGAUCUUCUCUUCCCAAACACUCCCUUUCCACUGGCAGGAAAACCAAAUCCAGAAAGGGGAACUAAGUACACAGAGCAGGAGAGAUGGGAGUUCAGGGCCACUCACACAUGUCCCCUGCCCACUGUCUGUUUUCUGUCCUCUGUAGAUCUUUAUAUAAAAUGAGAAACAUAAACAACAAUCAUAAUAUUAAUAGGGAUGAUACAAUCAAUCUAGUGGGUUUCCCUGAGGAUCUGGGUUGGAAACCAGCGGACAACCCUUGGGACACUUGAGAUUUUUCCACCAUUUGGGGGUUGUUAUUACUAUUUCUCCAGACCUAGCCAAUCCCUCUGCCAACCGCUAACUCCAGGUACUCUUCUCCAGGUGUGGGGAAAGUUCCCCUGAAAUAUGGCUCUGGUCUUCCUCCCCUUCCCAAUCAGAGAUGGGCAGUGGAGGUUCUAUGGCACCCAUCCUGGCCUCACUCUGAGGUUCCAAUGAGGAUUCUGGGCAUCAAGAGACAGCUCUGGGCAAAAGCAAAAUCAAGUCAGCCCCUGGACCCAGUGCUGGGCUGCUGGGCUUUCUGGGAGAACCCGCUGGGCUUGCUACACACUCCUCCUCCCAGAAACUCCACACCCACAGCCCUGGGUCUUCCUAGCCCCGAGACUUUCAAGUCCAUAUGCCUGGAAUCCCCCUUCCUGAGACCCUUAACCCUGCAUCCUCCACAACAGAAGACCCCUAAAUGCACAGCCACACUUUGUCUUACCCUAAUAAAACCCAGACCUUUGGAUUCCUCUCCCCUGGAACCCCCAGAUCCACAACUUUGGGGUGCAUUCUCACUCUCAGACCCCAAAUCCAAAGCCCAAGUGCUCCCCUAUGCAAAUAUUCCAAACUCCUCAGUUCUACAGCUUAUCUGUUGCCCCCUCCUAAAUCCACAGCCCUGCGGCACCCCUCCUGAAGUACCACAGAUUUAGUCUGGAGGCCCCCUCUCUGUUCAGCUGCCCUGGGGUCCCCUUAUCCUCCCUUGCUGGCUGUGUCCCAAGCUAGGCAGGAUUCAUGGUGGGGCAUGUAGUUGGGAGGUGAAAUGAGGUAAUUAUGUAAUCAGCCAAAGUCCAUCCCUCUUUUUCAGGCAGUAUAAAGGCAAACCACCCCAGCCGUCACC